RNAcentral lists this long non-coding RNA (234 nucleotides) under Sander lucioperca (pikeperch). RNAcentral's name for it is "lncRNA (ENSSLUG00000000797.1)". The record is from RNAcentral. Lineage: Eukaryota; Metazoa; Chordata; Actinopteri; Perciformes; Percidae.
CCCGGAAAGACUGUUGGCGGUAGGGCGAGAGAGGAUUGUCUUGAAGGACAAGGAAAACACGAAGAUUAAAGACAACAUUAAGACCAUCUGAACGCAUGGAUGCAUCGGAGCAUGGCCCUUAAGAAGAGCGAGCUCAGUCUUCCAAGAAAACGCCUCAACUGUCGUGGUGUUCUUACUUCCAAACUUCCAACACAUCCAUCCGUACAUCAGACUGCAGUUUUCUCCUGAACGAAC